This 454-nucleotide long non-coding RNA is filed under the name Marmota monax (woodchuck). Lineage: Eukaryota; Metazoa; Chordata; Mammalia; Rodentia; Sciuridae. The record is from RNAcentral.
CCCACGUCACUUGAAAUGUUCCCAGAGAUGUGGGACUCCUUAACCAAGUCUGGCUUUCUUCACCUCCUUAAUAAUUCAUCUGGCUUGUCUUCAGGAGGCUCCUGAUGGCAUCGCUUUCACUUUCUUACAAAACUCCCCUCAAAUUCCCAGUGAAUGCCCCCAACAUGAGGACACGUUGCUGUUAAGGAGCAGUCCCUGCUCUACACAGCCCGUCCAAGCCCCAGAGAGGUGCACAUGGCUGGGACGACUCUCCAGGCCCUGACAGACCAUCCUGGCCUGGGAACCAAUGCGUUUGUCCCACAGAGCCCCCAAGGAGAUGAAGAAGACAGCAGGUCUGGAAGAUAUUUCGGUGAGGGUGAAGAUCCACAGCACCUGAGAACUCCCCACCUCCCACCGUUACUGCCUGUGUCCCCUGGCUGCUCCCAGGUAAGUCUGUGUUCCUAAGGGAGGGUUC